AAAUAAAUGAUGAUACUGUUGGAAUUACCGUUUGAAAUUUUUCAUUUAUGAUGAAAAUUCAACUGGCUGCUAUAUUUGUA
This 80-nucleotide small nucleolar RNA is filed under the name Cinara cedri. The record is from RNAcentral. Lineage: Eukaryota; Metazoa; Arthropoda; Insecta; Hemiptera; Aphididae.